CUUGAUCGCACCGAGCCACAAGGGCUGGUCGGCGGGCCGGCCCUGGCCGUACGUGGCCAGCAGCGCCUGCGCCUC
Non-coding RNA from Streptomyces sp., 75 nucleotides. Lineage: Bacteria; Bacillati; Actinomycetota; Actinomycetes; Kitasatosporales; Streptomycetaceae. The record is from Rfam.